This 1402-nucleotide long non-coding RNA is filed under the name Homo sapiens (human). RNAcentral's name for it is "long intergenic non-protein coding RNA 1727". Lineage: Eukaryota; Metazoa; Chordata; Mammalia; Primates; Hominidae. The record is from RNAcentral.
GAGCAUCUGGGCCAAGUUCAGGGCUGGUGCUCUCGUUCAGAUAGAUUUAGCUGGUGGUGCAGAGAUCCGUGAGCUUGCUUUUACAGGACUUUAAUGAUAUAUAAAAGCAGCACGAGGUGCUCCUGACUGUGGAUUAAUUUGGAGAUGACUUUCUCUGUUGAAGAGUAGCAAGACUCUCGCGAGUUCUUAAAAAUGCACUUGUUUGGUAUGAGAAUGAAAAGCAGUGGCUGAAGAACCAAUCUUCAAUGGGCAAGCCUUCUCUGACAUCAAUAUCUGGCUUUGAGUGGCACAAAGAAAUAAAGGAAUGUGGAUUCAGACCUCACUGGGAUGCUUGGCAAUUCUAAUUCUACCCCAGACUGCAAAUGGACACACAACUGUUGUGACUUUUGUUGAAGAGGAGAAGGAUGGAAGCUGGAUUCAGAAGCACACAGGUCUGGGGAUGCAGGCUUCGGCCAGCCUGAUGCAAGGAAAGACUGCCAUCUCGUGGUCAGCUCAAUCCUGGCACCUUGGUGAGGGACCAGGCUGCAGAAAACCAGGCUUGGGGAGGAAACGGUGCUGCAAACUGGAUUUCUGCCGGACAGUGUGGAUGCCCUUAGAAAACACCCAGAAAAGAGCUGAGUGCCCCCCAAGACUUGCCCUGAAUUCUUUCAUGUGCAAUAUCCGAAAACCCUCUCUUGGGGCCUGGAUCAGGACCCCUUUCCUAUAACAUCUUUCUGGCGACAACAAAGGGACAAUGGUGUGGAAUCCCCCUUCCCAAAUGCUACUUUUAGAUAUCACCUUUUGUCGGAACUUGGAGUUGGUAAUGACCUUCACCAUACCACCACUCUGGGACUGAGCUUCUCUCUACCCUGAUGCAAGAGACCCUAAUAGGCAGGAAUAUGACCACCCCUAUUCAGCCUGAAGAAGUUACAGAAGUUCUGAAACCCUUAGAAAUGAGGGUCUUCUUGUAAAGGGAGUGGGGAGAUAUAUCAGAGGCAUUUGAACCAGAGCAACUCCAUCUUGAGUGAGGGCUAGGAAAAUGAGGCUAGGACUUGCUGGGCUGCAUUCUCAGAAAGUCAGUCAUUCCUAGCCUCUAGAUGUUUACGGUUAAGGGAACAAAUUUAUAACAUUUACUAAACACACCCAGACUUGGGAGUGUCCAGAUAUCCCAAUAUCUGGAGAACAAAGGCAUUCCUAAUUUUGCUUUAAAGACAAUAAUAUUGAUUCUUGCAAAAUAUAGUAAUUAAGAAAAUUAAUCCUUUAUCACAAACCCUUGUAGUAAAACACAUCUCCCCAUAUAUACAAGCAUUGUACCUAAGGUGGAUGCGUUCCAUCUCUUACUUUCAGGAAUGUCCUACACUAUCUAAGGAGUAGCUGUACUUUCACCACUUUACUUUCUUAAUAAACUUGUUUUUACUUUGCA